This is a long non-coding RNA of Helianthus annuus (common sunflower), 486 nucleotides long. RefSeq lists it as uncharacterized. The transcript is spliced from 2 exons. The record is from RefSeq and is a predicted model, not a curated record. NCBI's taxonomy places the organism in Eukaryota, Viridiplantae, Streptophyta, Magnoliopsida, Asterales, Asteraceae.
AUGCAACCGGCCCAGCCCAUUUAAUUGGGAACGGUGAAACAACAGAGAAAACACACGCGAUUAGGGAUUUCUAGGGUUUUAGAGGGUUAACGUUUCACAAAGCUUUCUCCGAUACCUAUCGAUUACCUGUGUUACCGGUGAAUGAUCGGAGAUCUACUGCCGGAAAAUGUCAGGAGCAGCUCAGGCGUUCAGCGGCAAUCUUAAGGGAAUUAAAUGUGGAUCUGGCGGGCGUUUAGAUGUUUCAAGUGAUGUUGGGAAUAAAAGAUGUCAUCCGAAGUCUAAGGGUUUGAAUUGUGUGUUUUAUCCUGGAUAAGAUACAUGGUUCAAAGCCUGGUUUUUAUUAGUGUCUUUUGUCGAGUCCUUUUGGAACUCUAAAACAAUUUGCAUGGUUUGUAAUUUGGAUUUGAAGUUUGUGUUUGGUUUUCAAGACAAUGCUGUUUGUGAUGUUUUUAACUUAAUCAAUGGAUGAACAUAUUGGUUUUAUUA